CUACGGGCGGCUCCAGGCGCGAAACCUUUACAAUGCACGCAAGUGUGAUAAGGGGAUCCUAAGUGCUUAUACAAUGUAUAGGCUUUUGUUAAGAGUAAAUAUCUUAGCGAAUAAGUGGUGGGUAAGACUGGUGCCAGCCGCCGCGGUAACACCAGCGCCACGAGUGGCAACCGCGUUUAUUGGGCCUAAAGCGUCCGUAGCCGGUUUGGCAAAUCUCUUGUGAAAUCGUCAGGCUUAACCUGACGGCGUGCUUGAGACACUACCUUACUAGAGACCGGGAGGGGUCAGAGGUAUUCCAGGGGGAGCGGUAAAAUGUGAUAAUCCCUGGAGGAUCACCUAUGGCGAAGGCAUCUGACCAGCACGGAUCUGACGGUGAGGGACGAAGGCUAGGGGAGCGAUCCGGAUUAGAUACCCCAGUAGUC
This 422-nucleotide ribosomal RNA is filed under the name uncultured archaeon. RNAcentral describes it as "partial 16S ribosomal RNA". It matches the Rfam family "Archaeal small subunit ribosomal RNA", at positions 323 to 746 of the family's 1478-position model. The record is from RNAcentral.